GUCGGGGGGCGCCGCGGGAAAAGGUGCUCGCCGCCAUUUUGCCCCCUCGAGGGUCCUGUACGAUGUGCGGUCCCACCGAUGUACAGACCUCGUUGUACCCCCAUGCGGCCCAACCCGGGGAAAGGCGCAACGCUGGCUUUGCCCCCUCCCAAAGUCCCCACGCAACAGCUGCCACAACCACCACGCUUUGUGUUCUUACUGCACUGCCUGCAGCGCCUGGAGAAAGUUUCGCUCCCAUCCCAGUCUUGCAAGCAGUCGCAGCCACAGCACAGGCACCUUCAGGGCUGGCGUUCCUCCUCCUCCCACUUUGAUGCCGCUCUGCUCAACUCUGCGCUUAGUCAGGGAGCCGGGCCUGCAACGAGGACAGUUCGGUUGUGGAAGGAAUCCCCAGAGAGGGAGAAAAGGUGUAGGGCCGGGCUGUGCUGCUGGGACCUUCUGCCUCUGUGUGGCUGCAGUUCAUCUCAUGUAGGGACUGCAGAGUCCUGUGGAGACAAACACAGGCCAGUGUGCACCACUCAGAACUGUGACAGCUAUAAGGAGCUGAAGAACGAAUUGUGUGAACAUUGAGUGUAGUAAACGCACAUCAGCAUUAGGCAGUCUUGUGUAGAAAUGUUGGUAAAAGCUGCGCUGAACAUUUCAUUUCUGAUGUUUUUUUAACUUUAUGUAGUUGUGUAAUAGGCCCUGUGCUUUGCUCCUGCCUCAAUGGAAAAUCAUUACACAGUAAUGGAUGAGCCAGUCCGGAAGGAGCACGGCUGGGGUACCACUCGUGUUCAUCUGGAGAUGCAGCAUACGAGAGGAAGUAGCGGGAGGCCUGCCAACUUUCCCAAUUUAAUUAUUAAGCUGUCAGAUCCUGACUUCGUUUCCACUUCCCGAGGCAACAUCUGGCUGUAAUAACAAAAAUAAAUAAUUAACAUAAAAUUUGAUCAUUCACUCGGUAGCGUUCUGUUUCCAAUGUCCUUUUUACUGCAGUCUUACGAAAAACUCAAUACAGGGGACCUGAAGCUGGCAUCUCUGAACUACUGCUAAGUGAAGACAAGAAUAGAGUCAGCUGUGAUCUGCGAGGGAGAGCUGUGCAGCAGGGUCUGUCAUACUCGAGCCUUCUUCAGAAAGUCCAAUGGUGUGCAUUUUAAUCUUCCUAAUCCUUCUUUCAUUCAGAAAAAAACAUCAGCAUUUUUUUUCACCGUGCAAAGCCAUAUUAUGUGACUUUUGGAGAUUAAAAAAAAAAAUCUUUUUUUUUAGCCAAGAAUUAUUGCAUUUUCAUCAAACAUUGCUUCAAAAGGGUAGCGGUGAUUCCAGGGGAAAAAAAAAAAACACAACAGCUUUAAAGAAUAUCAUGUUUAAAUGCUACCAAAUGUGACCGAAAUGCUGAAGAGAAGUUUUAAAAUAUCUAUGACUGCGCCUUCACGUGUUCUCUGGGUCUGUUUCAUAUGAUGUGACAGCUUCAGCUCACAAGUCCUUAUUGCAGUGGCUUUUGGAACCGUAUGCCUCUUUUUUGCAUAUCCUUGCUCAAACACACACACUUGCUCACAAAAAUAUAUAUCUAUAUAUGUGCAUAUUCACAGGCAGAGACAAAUACAGAGUGACUCAGCUCUGUGUUCUACUUGCUUAAUCAGUUUUUAAAGCUCAGGCACUGUUCUCUUUUCUUAUUUAAAAUGCCGACAGCUAUCUUUCCCACAUUCCUUUUUUCACGGCAAGGGUACCAUGCCUUGACAAAGCCAGGCAACCUAAACUGCCCACAGUGGGCUCCUCCUCCCUGCGUGCCACUCUCCUGAAUGACUUUCUGAAGGUCAGGAGGUCAGUUCGUCCAUUAAUCACAUGGGAGCUUUGCUUCGACACCGGCCCUUCACACUGAUCUGGGGCAGUCCUAGAAAGCCAUUCUUCUUCAUCAUCCAGAGGUAAGGAAGGAGGUGGAGCUCAGGAGGCAGAGGUCCUGCAAGGCGAAAUACCAGGAGGUGGUGUGGGAUGAACCCUGUUGCCCACAAGCAGCGUGUUGACCAGCACAGCUCCUUUCACUUUGGUCUCUGCAGGGCUACAACACAAAUGGUCUCCUGAGACUUCCUCAAGCUCUCUUCUUGAUUGCUGCUGUACAUCUGGAGUGAGAGUCAGCCAGUGACAAGAUGGCAGGUGCUCUGAAUCAAUCCCUGAUACAAAGGACCUGACCCUGUUUCUAUUUAAGUCAGCUUAAUUUCUCAAUUUUCCUUGGGCAGAGAUGAUCUCAUUAUGAUACUUGAGAAAAACUUGUUUUACUUUUUCCCUACAGUUUUUGCUGUCCUUCUGUAAAACUGAAG
This is a non-coding RNA of Meleagris gallopavo (turkey), 2288 nucleotides long. The record is from RefSeq and is a predicted model, not a curated record. Lineage: Eukaryota; Metazoa; Chordata; Aves; Galliformes; Phasianidae.